GACUGGGAUAACUAUUGGAAACAAUAGCUAAUACCGGAUAUAGUUAUUUAUCGCAUGAUGAGUAAUAGAAAGGAGCUUCACAGCUUCACUUAAAAAUGGGGGUGCGGAACAUUAGUUAGUUGGUAGGGUAAUGGCCUACCAAGACGAUGAUGUUUAGCCGGGCCGAGAGGCUGUACGGCCACACUGGGACUGAGAUACGGCCCAGACUCCUACGGGAGGCAGCAGUAAGGAAUUUUCCACAAUGAGCGAAAGCUUGAUGGAGCGACACAGCGUGCAGGAUGAAGUUCUUCGGAAUGUAAACUGCUGUUAUAAGGGAAGAAAAAAUAGAAUAGGAAAUGAUUUUAUCUUGACGGUACCUUAUUAGAAAGCGACGGCAAACUAUGUGCCAGCAGCCGCGGUAAUACAUAGGUCGCAAGCGUUAUCCGGAAUUAUUGGGCGUAAAGCGUCCGUAGGUUUUUUGCUAAGUCUGGAGUUAAAUGCUGAAGCUCAACUUCAGUCCGCUUUGGAUACUGGCAAAAUAGAAUUAUAAAGAGGUUAGCGGAAUUCCUAGUGAAGCGGUGGAAUGCGUAGAUAUUAGGAAGAACACCAAUAGGCGAAGGCAGCUAACUGGUUAUAUAUUGACACUAAGGGACGAAAGCGUGGGGAGCAAACAGGAUUAGAUACCCUGGUAGUCCACGCCGUAAACGAUGAUCAUUAGUUGGUGGAAUAAUUUCACUAACGCA
RNAcentral lists this ribosomal RNA (722 nucleotides) under Mesomycoplasma hyorhinis. RNAcentral's name for it is "bacterial SSU rRNA". It matches the Rfam family "Bacterial small subunit ribosomal RNA", at positions 136 to 850 of the family's 1533-position model. The record is from RNAcentral. Lineage: Bacteria; Bacillati; Mycoplasmatota; Mycoplasmoidales; Metamycoplasmataceae.